Non-coding RNA from Zootermopsis nevadensis, 579 nucleotides. The record is from RefSeq and is a predicted model, not a curated record. NCBI's taxonomy places the organism in Eukaryota, Metazoa, Arthropoda, Insecta, Blattodea, Termopsidae.
ACAACGUUUUCAUAUGAUUUUCAGAGUAAAAAGCGAUUACUUCCUAUAAACAACCAUAAAAUUUGAUCCUCGUAAUGGUUAUUGGCUGAGGCAUCGACUGAAUUAUUAUCUGAUAUUUUUAUUAAAUUCUUCUUCAGAUGGUUAAAUCAAGUACAGCUUUGCGUUAGUUCCAGGUUAUCCAUGGUCGAAAGUUAUGCCAAUAACGUGAGUCUCACAGAAAACCAGACACCCUCUGUUCGUUCCUGCAUGCAUUCAAGAUGGUUCUGUAAUGACGUCAGAUUUCAAGACUUCAGAUGUUUAGGGGGAAGCAUUACUCUGAAUAAGUCACUAAAAGGCGCCUGAAUAUGAAUAACCCUCAACACACACCGACAUGGAAUUUCCCAAUAUACGUGCAUGAAACGAACAAAGGUGUUCAUUCCUGAAUGUCACUGUGAAGAGACUGCAUGAUGCAUGAGCAGUUAGUAUUACAGCUCUAAGUGAUUCAAGAUAACAACAAUACAUACCGCGAGAUCCCUUCACAGAAAACAGCAGAACCAACUAGGCACAAAGAGAAGAUAUAAGGCAAGUCCACUGCUAGGA